GUCUAUGGCCAUACCACCCUGAACACGCCCGAUCUCAUCUGAUCUUGGAAGCUAAGCAGGGUCUGGCCUGGUUAGUACUUGGAUGGGAGAAAUGAACAUUCUAGGAAGUUAGGGUUA
Molecule: ribosomal RNA, 117 nt
Filed under: Oryctolagus cuniculus (rabbit)
Lineage: Eukaryota; Metazoa; Chordata; Mammalia; Lagomorpha; Leporidae
Source: RNAcentral